RNAcentral lists this small RNA (143 nucleotides) under Flavobacterium segetis. RNAcentral describes it as "Flavo-1 RNA". It matches the Rfam family "Flavo-1 RNA". The record is from RNAcentral. Lineage: Bacteria; Pseudomonadati; Bacteroidota; Flavobacteriia; Flavobacteriales; Flavobacteriaceae.
UUUUACCCCAGAUUGUAGUGCAAAGCAUUUUUCUUGAACGCUAUAUUAUUUAUUAACCUUAAAGAGCGACUGGAAGAAGCUCCUUUAUGGUCCUACAAAAAAAACGUUCUAGGAAAAUCUUGAAACGGAAAGCUGGAUUUAGU